CGGUCGCAAGAUUAAACUCAAAGGAAUUGACGGGGGCCUGCACAAGCGGUGAAGCAUGUGGUUUAAUUCGAAGCAACGCGCAAGAACCUUACCAGCCUUUGACAUCCUAGGACGGCUUCUGAAGACAGAUUCCUUCCCUUCGGGGACCUAGUGACAGGUGCUGCAUGGCUGUCGUCAGCUCGUGUCGUGAGAUGUUGGGUUAAGUCCCGCAACGAGCGCAACCCUCGUCCUUAGUUGCCAUCAUUUAGUUGGGCACUUUAAGGAAACUGCCGGUGAUAAGCCGGAGGAAGGUGGGGAUGACGUCAAGUCCUCAUGGCCCUUACAGGCUGGGCUACACACGUGCUACAAUGGCGGUGACAGUGGGCAGCGAACUCGCGAGAGUGAGCUAAUCUCCAAAAGCCGUCUCAGUUCGGAUUGUUCUCUGCAACUCGAGAGCAUGAAGGCGGAAUCGCUAGUAAUCGCGGAUCAGCAUGCCGCGGUGAAUACGUUCCCAGGCCUUGUACACACCGCCCGUCACACCAUGGGAGUUGGUUUCACCCGAAGAUCGUGCGCUAACCUUUUAGGAGGCAGCGAGCCACGGUGGGAUCAGCGACUGGGGUG
This 600-nucleotide ribosomal RNA is filed under the name uncultured bacterium. RNAcentral's name for it is "bacterial SSU rRNA". It matches the Rfam family "Bacterial small subunit ribosomal RNA", at positions 883 to 1482 of the family's 1533-position model. The record is from RNAcentral.